Molecule: ribosomal RNA, 274 nt
Filed under: Enterobacter hormaechei
Lineage: Bacteria; Pseudomonadati; Pseudomonadota; Gammaproteobacteria; Enterobacterales; Enterobacteriaceae
Description: partial 23S ribosomal RNA
Rfam family: Bacterial large subunit ribosomal RNA
Source: RNAcentral
GGUUAAGCGACUAAGCGUACACGGUGGAUGCCCUGGCAGUCAGAGGCGAUGAAGGACGUGCUAAUCUGCGAAAAGCGCCGGCGAGGUGAUAUGAACCUUUGACCCGGCGAUGUCCGAAUGGGGAAACCCAGUGCAAUCCGUUGCACUAUCGUUAACUGAAUACAUAGGUUAACGAGGCGAACCGGGGGAACUGAAACAUCUAAGUACCCCGAGGAAAAGAAAUCAACCGAGAUUCCCCCAGUAGCGGCGAGCGAACGGGGAGCAGCCCGGAGUC